RNAcentral lists this ribosomal RNA (429 nucleotides) under Actinomycetes bacterium. Its description in RNAcentral is "Actinobacteria bacterium partial 16S ribosomal RNA". It matches the Rfam family "Bacterial small subunit ribosomal RNA", at positions 355 to 776 of the family's 1533-position model. The record is from RNAcentral. Lineage: Bacteria; Bacillati; Actinomycetota; Actinomycetes.
UAGGGAAUCUUCCGCAAUGGGCGAAAGCCUGACGGAGCAACGCCGCGUGAGUGAUGAAGGUCUUCGGAUCGUAAAACUCUGUUAUUAGGGAAGAACAAAUGUGUAAGUAACUAUGCACGUCUUGACGGUACCUAAUCAGAAAGCCACGGCUAACUACGUGCCAGCAGCCGCGGUACUACGUAGGUGGCAAGCGUUAUCCGGAAUUAUUGGGCGUAAAGCGCGCGUAGGCGGUUUUAUAAGUCUGAUGUGAAAGCCCACGGCUCAACCGUGGAGGGUCAUUGGAAACUGGAAAACUUGAGUGCAGAAGAGGAAAGUGGAAUUCCAUGUGUAGCGGUGAAAUGCGCAGAGAUAUGGAGGAACACCAGUGGCGAAGGCGACUUUCUGGUCGGUAACUGACGCAGAUGUGCGAAAGCGUGGGGAUCAAACAGG